GGGAGGGGCUCUACGCAGUGUUUGCCAGCACAGAUUGUCUACGGUGUUUUGAGUGUGCGGAUUUGGGACAUAAGAGCUUUGCGUGUCCACAUAAACGCCGUAGACAAGGUGAGGGUACAGGGCUAGGUCUAGUCAGACUAUGGAUGGUGGUGUAGAUGAGGCUGGGUCUAGUCAGGCUAGAGAUGGUGGGGUAGAUGAGGCUGGGUCUAGUCAGGUUAUAGAUGGUGGUGUAGAUGAGGCUGGGUCUAGUCAGGUUACGGAGGGUGGUGUAGAUGAGGCUGGGUCUAGUCAGGUUAUAGAUGGUGGUGUAGCGGAGGCUGGGUCUAGUCAGGUUAUAGAUGGUGGGGUAGAUGAGGCUGGGUCUAGUCAGGUUAUAGAUGGUGGUGUAGAGGAGGCUGGGUCUAGUCAGGUUAUAGAUGGUGGUGUAGAUGAGACUGGGUCUAGUCAGGUUAUAGAUGGUGGUGUAGAUGAGGCUGGGUCUAGUAGACUGUAGAUAGUGGGGUAGAUGAGGCUGGGUCUAGUCAGGUUAGUGAUGAUGGUGUAGAUGAGGCUGGGUCUAGUCAGGUUAUGGAUGGUGGUGUAGAUGUGGCUGGGUCUAGUCAGGUUAUAUAUGGUGGUGUAGAUGAGGCUGGGUCUAGUCAUGUUAUAGAUGGAGGUGUAGAUGAGGCUGGGUCUAGUCAGGUUAUAGAUGGUGGUGUAGAUGAGGCUGGGUCUAGUAGACUGUAGAUAGUGGGGUAGAUGAGGCUGGGUCUAGUCAGGUUAUGGAUGGUGGUGUAGAUGAGGCUGGGUCUAGUCAUGCUAUGGAGGGUGGUGUAGAUGAGGCUGGGUCUAGUCAUGUUAUGGAGGGUGGUGUAGAUGAGGCUGGGUCUAGUCAGGUUAUGGAGGGUGGUGUAGAUGAGGCUGGG
This is a long non-coding RNA of Oncorhynchus tshawytscha (Chinook salmon), 905 nucleotides long. The record is from Ensembl. Lineage: Eukaryota; Metazoa; Chordata; Actinopteri; Salmoniformes; Salmonidae.